RNAcentral lists this unclassified non-coding RNA (241 nucleotides) under Hevea brasiliensis (rubber tree). The record is from RNAcentral. Lineage: Eukaryota; Viridiplantae; Streptophyta; Magnoliopsida; Malpighiales; Euphorbiaceae.
CCCGGUAAAAAGUCCGCUUCCACCCAGCCCGACAGCUCGCCAUUUUCUCCGUGGUUUAUGCGGCGCCAAGUUUCUCGCGAAGCCUGUCAACUGCUUCGGGAUUGGCGAGUGCGGAAAGAUCGCCGGGAUCCUUGCUUUCGAACACUGCUCGCAGCACCCGGCGCAUGAUCUUCAUGUUGCGGGUUCGAGGCAGAUCAUCUACAAAAAUUAUCUUCUCCGGCCGGUACGAUGCUCCCAUGCC